CUGGGAAAGGGAAAGGCAAGCACCUCUUGGAAGAGGCUGCGGAGGUCGCCCGGCAGCGCGAAGAGGUGUGCUGAGACCCAAGGCAGGACCUUCAGAGCUCUGGAAGAAGAGGCGCAAGUGACACCGAGGAGGGCCAGCUGAGCGGGGAAAGGACACUCGAUGCUCUGUCCGGUCCCGGCCCUCCGGGGAUCAGGUCGGCCCCCGACCCCGCAGGUCGCUCUCCUAAGCAGGCCUGGCAGCCCAGGCCAACUCCAGCCCAAUGACAGAUUGCGCAGAGGAGGUUGGAACUGUGCACCCUAUUAUCUUAAUACAAGAAAGGAAGUAUAGUAGCACUGAGUUCUCAAAACUCUGUUGAUGAUACACUUGGGAACGCAAAGAGCC
Molecule: long non-coding RNA, 381 nt
Organism: Cervus elaphus (red deer)
Lineage: Eukaryota; Metazoa; Chordata; Mammalia; Artiodactyla; Cervidae
Exons: 3
Source: RefSeq, a predicted model, not a curated record